RNAcentral lists this ribosomal RNA (377 nucleotides) under uncultured eukaryote. Its description in RNAcentral is "partial 18S ribosomal RNA". It matches the Rfam family "Eukaryotic small subunit ribosomal RNA", at positions 592 to 976 of the family's 1831-position model. The record is from RNAcentral.
CAAUAGCGUAUAUUAAAGUUGUUGCAGUUAAAAAGCUCGUAGUUGGAUUUCGGAGCCGACCGGGCGGUCUGUCGAGAGACACGCACUGCUCGGUGGCUCUUCCUCUCGGAGGCCCUGGCUGCCCUUAACUGGAGCGGGCAGGGGAUUCGGGACGGUUACUUUGAAAAAAUUAGAGUGUUCAAAGCAGGCCGGUGCUUGGAUACAUUAGCAUGGAAUAAUGGAAUAGGGCUUGGGUCCUAUUUUGUUGGUUUUCGGGACCGAGGUCAUGGUUAAGAGGGACAGUUGGGGGCAUUCGUAUUCAAUUGUCAGAGGUGAAAUUCUUGGAUUUAUGGAAGACGAACAACUGCGAAAGCAUUUGCCAAGGAUGUUUUCAUUAA